Molecule: transfer RNA, 74 nt
Filed under: Bacillota bacterium
Lineage: Bacteria; Bacillati; Bacillota
Also listed under: 6 other names
Description: tRNA-Gly
Rfam family: tRNA
About the family: Transfer RNA (tRNA) molecules are approximately 80 nucleotides in length.
Source: RNAcentral
GCGGGCAUAGUUCAGUGGUAGAAUACCAGCUUCCCAAGCUGGCUAUGCGGGUUCGAUUCCCGUUGCCCGCUCCA